RNAcentral lists this ribosomal RNA (1513 nucleotides) under metagenome. Its description in RNAcentral is "bacterial SSU rRNA". It matches the Rfam family "Bacterial small subunit ribosomal RNA". The record is from RNAcentral.
AGAGUUUGAUUCUGGCUCAGAACGAACGCUGGCAGCGUGGAUUAGGCAUGCAAGUCGAACGAGAACCCAUCCGUUCAAUCUUUCGGGAGAGAACAGGUGGUGGAAAGUGGCGAAAGGGUGAGGAACACGUGGGCAAUCUACCUCUUAGUUGGGGAUAACCUCAAAACCGAGGCUAAUACCGGAUGUGAUCUUUCAACGCAUGUUGAGAUGAUCAAAGGCGGGGAUCUUUCGGGACCCGCCGCUAAGAGAGGAGCCCGCGUCCCAUCAGCUUGUUGGUAGGGUAACGGCCUACCAAGGCUUACGGGUAGCUGGUCUGAGAGGAUGGUCAGCCACACUGGGACUGAGACACUGCCCAGACUCCUACGGGAGGCUGCAGUCGAGGAUCAUUGUCAAUGCGCGAAAGCGUGAACAUGCGACGCUGCGUGAAGGAUGAAGGCCUUAGGGUCGUAAACUUCUGUCAUUCGGGAAAAAUUGUCACGGUAUUAAUACCACUGUGACUUGAUGGUACCGAAAGAGGAAGCCACGGCUAACUCUGUGCCAGCAGCCGCGGUAAUACAGAGGUGGCGAGCGUUGUUCGGAUUUACUGGGCGUAAAGGGUGCGUAGGCGGUUCUGUGUGUCGAAUGUGAAAGCCCAUGGCUCAACCAUGGAAUUGCAUCCGAAACUACAGGACUAGAGUACAGGAGGGGAGAGCGGAAUUCUUGGUGUAGCGGUGAAAUGCGUUGAUAUCAAGAAGAACACCGGUGGCGAAGGCGGCUCUCUGGAAUGUUACUGACGCUGAGGCACGAAAGCUGGGGGAGCAAACAGGAUUAGAUACCCUGUAGUCCCAGCCGUAAACGGUGUGCACUUGGUGUGGGAGGUAUUGACCCCUUCCGUGCCGGAGCUAACGCGUUAAGUGCACCGCCUGGGGAGUACGGCCGCAAGGCUAAAACUCAAAGAAAUUGACGGGGGCCCGCACAAGCGGAGGAGCAUGUGGCUUAAUUCGAUGCAACGCGAAGAACCUUGCCAGGGCUUGACAUGUAGCUGCACGUCCGGUGAAAGCCGGAUUCCUUCGAGGGUGCUACACAGGUGCUGCAUGGCUGUCGUCAGUUCGUGCCGUGAGGUGUUGGGUUAAGUCCCGCAACGAACGCAACCCCUGUGUCUAGUUGCCACUUUCGGUGAUGAGCCGAGAAGCACUCUAGACAGACUGCCCGUACAAGCGGGAGGAAGGUGGGGACGACGUCAAGUCAGUAUGGCCCUUACGCCCUGGGCUGCACACGUGCUACAAUGGUCGGUACAAAGGGACGCAAGACCGCGAGGUGGAGCAAAUCCCCAAAACUGGCCCCAGUUCGGAUUGGAGCCUGCAACUCGACUCCAUGAAGUUGGAUUCGCUAGUAACGGCGUAUCAGCUACGGCGCCGUGAAUACGUUCCCGGGCCUUGUACACACCGCCCGUCACAUCAUGAAAGCCGUCUGCACCCGAAGUCGUUGAUCUAACCCGCAAGGGAGGAAGACGCCGAAGGUGUGGGUGGUGAUU